This is a long non-coding RNA of Rhineura floridana, 709 nucleotides long. RefSeq lists it as uncharacterized. The transcript is spliced from 3 exons. The record is from RefSeq and is a predicted model, not a curated record. Lineage: Eukaryota; Metazoa; Chordata; Lepidosauria; Squamata; Rhineuridae.
CAAAACACCUCUCAAAGCUUUUGUCUGUCUCCCCUUUAAAUAGAUUGUGUUCAUUUUGAGCUUUUGUCUGUCUAAGACCUCUUUGAACAAAUGGUACAGACAGUCUCCGCUUCUGUUUUUCUUAUUUGUGUCAUGUUUGUGCAUUUCUUUUAAUAAUGACAUAUCAGGUAAUGCUCUUAAUUUACCUACUCAGCCUGAAACUGCAGGAUGGAAAUAAUAUCUAUGGAUAUGGCUCUGUAGGGUAGCAACAGUCGCUUUGGGCUACAAACGCUAAAAAUAACUUGCUCUCAGCAGCAACUCAGAAACAACAAAAGUGGUUCCAUGUGGACUGUUUCAAUUGCUGUUGUUCCCAAGCUACUGCCUGUGAAGCCACUGAAGACCACCUUGAAGAAAGCUGAAAUAAUAAAUGAGUUGGAUCCAGGCUAUUAAGUUAGCUGCUUUGAAAUCAAUGUGAAUAGUUAAUUAUGCUCAUUUAGGUUCAAUGGGAUGCAAGUUGACUUAGCCUAGAUCCAAUCCAGCAAAACAAAAUAAUUAAAAACACUUAUUUGCCAGUGGAGCAACCAAACAAUUGUGGUUCAUCUGAUCAAUGGUGCAAAAAGAAAAAAAAACCUGCUUCUUGAUUAAUAAGAAUCUAUAUAAAUGAAAAGUUGGGUCCAUCUACACAGAACAGCAUUAAGAAAUGAUAAUGUAAUAUUUUGAAUGUACUGUA